This 1462-nucleotide ribosomal RNA is filed under the name uncultured bacterium. Its description in RNAcentral is "bacterial SSU rRNA". It matches the Rfam family "Bacterial small subunit ribosomal RNA". The record is from RNAcentral.
GCGUGCCUAAUACAUGCAAGUCGAGCGACCCUAUGAGAAGCUUGCUUCUCUGAUGUUAGCGGCGGACGGGUGAGUAACACGUGGGUAACCUACCUAUAAGACUGGGAUAACUCCGGGAAACCGGGGCUAAUACCAGAUAAUACAUUGAACCGCAUGGUUCAAUGUUGAAAGACGGUUUCGGCUGUCACUUAUAGAUGGACCCGCGCCGUAUUAGCUAGUUGGUAAGGUAACGGCUUACCAAGGCAACGAUACGUAGCCGACCUGAGAGGGUGAUCGGCCACACUGGAACUGAGACACGGUCCAGACUCCUACGGGAGGCAGCAGUAGGGAAUCUUCCGCAAUGGGCGAAAGCCUGACGGAGCAACGCCGCGUGAGUGAUGAAGGUCUUAGGAUCGUAAAACUCUGUUGUUAGGGAAGAACAAAUUUGUUAGUAACUGAACAAGUCUUGACGGUACCUAACCAGAAAGCCACGGCUAACUACGUGCCAGCAGCCGCGGUAAUACGUAGGUGGCAAGCGUUAUCCGGAAUUAUUGGGCGUAAAGCGCGCGUAGGCGGUUUCUUAAGUCUGAUGUGAAAGCCCACGGCUCAACCGUGGAGGGUCAUUGGAAACUGGGGAACUUGAGUGCAGAAGAGGAGAGUGGAAUUCCUUGUGUAGCGGUGAAAUGCGCAGAGAUAUGGGAGGAACCCCCAGUGGCGAAGGCGGCUCUCUGGUCUUGUAACUGACGCUGAUGUGCGAAAGCGUGGGGAUCAAACAGGAUUAGAUACCCUGGUAGUCCACGCCGUAAACGAUGAGUGCUAAGUGUUAGGGGGUUUCCGCCCCUUAGUGCUGCAGCUAACGCAUUAAGCACUCCGCCUGGGGAGUACGACCGCAAGGUUGAAACUCAAAGGAAUUGACGGGGACCCGCACAAGCGGUGGAGCAUGUGGUUUAAUUCGAAGCAACGCGAAGAACCUUACCAAAUCUUGACAUCCUUUGAUCGCUCUAGAGAUAGAGUUUUCCCCUUCGGGGGACAAAGUGACAGGUGGUGCAUGGUUGUCGUCAGCUCGUGUCGUGAGAUGUUGGGUUAAGUCCCGCAACGAGCGCAACCCUUAAGCUUAGUUGCCAUCAUUAAGUUGGGCACUCUAGGUUGACUGCCGGUGACAAACCGGAGGAAGGUGGGGAUGACGUCAAAUCAUCAUGCCCCUUAUGAUUUGGGCUACACACGUGCUACGAUGGAUAAUACAAAGGGCAGCGAACCCGCGAGGUCAAGCAAAUCCCAUAAAAUUAUUCUCAGUUCGGAUUGUAGUCUGCAACUCGACUACAUGAAGCUGGAAUCGCUAGUAAUCGUAGAUCAGCAUGCUACGGUGAAUACGUUCCCGGGUCUUGUACACACCGCCCGUCACACCACGAGAGUUUGUAACACCCGAAGCCGGUGGAGUAACCUUUUAUUAAGAGCUAGCCGUCGAAGGUGGGACAGAUGAUUG